GCCCUCGUAGCUCAGUGGUAGAGCAGUCGCUUCGUAAGCGACGGGUCGGGAGUUCGAAUCUCCCCGUGGGCUUCA
This 75-nucleotide transfer RNA is filed under the name bacterium. Its description in RNAcentral is "tRNA-Thr". It matches the Rfam family "tRNA". From Rfam's summary of the family: Transfer RNA (tRNA) molecules are approximately 80 nucleotides in length. Their secondary structure includes four short double-helical elements and three loops (D, anti-codon, and T loops). The record is from RNAcentral.